RNAcentral lists this ribosomal RNA (788 nucleotides) under Pontibacter sp. D14. RNAcentral's name for it is "bacterial SSU rRNA". It matches the Rfam family "Bacterial small subunit ribosomal RNA", at positions 56 to 846 of the family's 1533-position model. The record is from RNAcentral. Lineage: Bacteria; Pseudomonadati; Bacteroidota; Cytophagia; Cytophagales; Hymenobacteraceae.
UGCAGUCGACGAGCUUGAGGACUUCGGUUCUCAGGUUAGUGGCGCACGGGUGCGUAACGCGUAUGCAACCUACCUCUCACUGGGGGAUAGCCCGAGGAAACUCGGAUUAAUACCGCAUAAGAUAGCUGACCUGGCAUCAGGUUGUUAUUAAAGCUUUGGCGGUGGGAGAUGGGCAUGCGUGCCAUUAGCUAGUUGGUAGUGUAACGGACUACCAAGGCUUCGAUGGCUAGGGGCUCUGAGAGGACGGUCCCCCACACUGGUACUGAGACACGGACCAGACUCCUACGGGAGGCAGCAGUAGGGAAUAUUGGGCAAUGGCCGCGAGGCUGACCCAGCCAUGCCGCGUGCAGGAUGAAGGCCUUCUGGGUUGUAAACUGCUUUUAUCAGGGAAGAAAACGCUCCUGCGGGAGUAACUGACGGUACCUGAUGAAUAAGCACCGGCUAACUCCGUGCCAGCAGCCGCGGUAAUACGGAGGGUGCAAGCGUUGUCCGGAUUUAUUGGGUUUAAAGGGUGCGUAGGCGGCCCGUUAAGUCAGCGGUGAAAUCCCAGGGCUCAACCCUGGAACUGCCGUUGAUACUGGCGGGCUUGAGUUUGGUCGAGGCGGGCGGAACUGGUGGUGUAGCGGUGAAAUGCAUAGAUACCACCAAGAACCCCGAUUGCGUAGGCAGCUCGCUAGGCCAAAACUGACGCUGAGGCACGAAAGCGUGGGGAGCGAACAGGAUUAGAUACCCUGGUAGUCCACGCCGUAAACGAUGAGUACUCGAUGUCGGCGACACACGGCCGGCGU